Molecule: long non-coding RNA, 786 nt
Filed under: Cricetulus griseus (Chinese hamster)
Lineage: Eukaryota; Metazoa; Chordata; Mammalia; Rodentia; Cricetidae
Description: lncRNA (ENSCGRG00015030614.1)
Source: RNAcentral
AAAAAAACUACAAAGGAAGGAGACUCAAGGGCAGCAAGCACAUCCUUAACCCGCCUCCCGGAGAGGAACUGAGGCCAUCCUAGGGCAGAAAUACAAAAUAGAGCACUAGAUUCGCUAACGCGGUAGUUCCAGUAACUUUGAAUGAAUAAAUGACUGGAAGUUAUUGUUUGGGGGAAGCUUGAGGAAAGCUUGCCAUUUGCCAAGCAUUAAUCCCAUCAUUGGGGAUAUUCAAGCAGAGAAUGGAAGGAACCCUUGUGCUCUUCUUCCCCACGCACACACGUGUGCAAUCUGAGCUUCUCACAGAAGUGGACUGACAAACAUCCAUUACGCAGAAAAUCUUUUCUUUAGAGGUGUCUGGUCCACAGUAAAAGAGUGGUUAGUUAUUUCACUUUGGCGAUGAAGUUCAAAGACAUUUGGCCCUAAUCUGACAUAAGAAAUUAAUGAUUCAGCACCUGGUUCUUCGGCGGCUCUAGACAGCAUCUCCAAACUGCCCUUGAAGAAGGUUAGAGUCCAUGACGGCAAGACAGAAGCAACAGGCAGCAGGCAUGGUGGCAAGAGAAGGCGGUUGAGAGCUAAUUUCUCCAACUGCACACUGGAAGCAGAAAAUGACCUGGAAGUAACGAAGCUUUCUACUCUCAAUGCCAACCCAGUAACAUACUUCCUCCAGCUAAGCCACACCUCCUAAACCCACCCAGUGCCCACAACUGGAGACCAAGGGCUCACACGCCUCAGACUGUGGGAGGUGCUUCUCAUUCAAAUCACCACACUCUUGAAUUUCAAAUUAAA